GUUCUGUUGAACUGUUGUGCAUAGUGACAGCAAACCUGUACCAAACACUGAAAAUAGCAGUGUCUUAUUUCAAAUGUAUUUAAUAUUGAGUUUUAAUUUUCAAGACUGUCAUGGAGGAGAUACUACUUUAAAUCAGUGCCCACCUUUCAUAUAUUUUUUUAGCUAGUUAUUACUUUUAAUAUCAAACCCACAUAUUGGCCAAC
RNAcentral lists this long non-coding RNA (203 nucleotides) under Mytilus galloprovincialis (Mediterranean mussel). The record is from RNAcentral. Lineage: Eukaryota; Metazoa; Mollusca; Bivalvia; Mytilida; Mytilidae.